RNAcentral lists this transfer RNA (77 nucleotides) under Deltaproteobacteria bacterium. Its description in RNAcentral is "tRNA-Met". It matches the Rfam family "tRNA". From Rfam's summary of the family: Transfer RNA (tRNA) molecules are approximately 80 nucleotides in length. Their secondary structure includes four short double-helical elements and three loops (D, anti-codon, and T loops). The record is from RNAcentral. Lineage: Bacteria; Pseudomonadati; Myxococcota; Myxococcia.
GGGCCCUUAGCUCAGUUGGUUAGAGCAACCGGCUCAUAACCGGACGGUCCCAGGUUCGAGUCCUGGAGGGCCCACCG